RNAcentral lists this ribosomal RNA (434 nucleotides) under uncultured Ruminococcus sp. RNAcentral's name for it is "bacterial SSU rRNA". It matches the Rfam family "Bacterial small subunit ribosomal RNA", at positions 341 to 792 of the family's 1533-position model. Lineage: Bacteria; Bacillati; Bacillota; Clostridia; Eubacteriales; Oscillospiraceae. The record is from RNAcentral.
ACGGAAGGCAGCAGUGGGGAAUAUUGCACAAUGGGGGGAACCCUGAUGCAGCGAUGCCGCGUGGAGGAAGAAGGUUUUCGGAUUGUAAACUCCUGUCUUAAAGGACGAUAAUGACGGUACUUUAGGAGGAAGCUCCGGCUAACUACGUGCCAGCAGCCGCGGUAAUACGUAGGGAGCGAGCGUUGUCCGGAAUUACUGGGUGUAAAGGGAGCGUAGGCGGGAUUGCAAGUCAGAUGUGAAAACUAUGGGCUCAACCCAUAGACUGCAUUUGAAACUGUAGUUCUUGAGUGAAGUAGAGGUAAGCGGAAUUCCUGGUGUAGCGGUGAAAUGCGUAGAUAUCAGGAGGAACACCAGUGGCGAAGGCGGCUUACUGGACCACAACUGACGCUGAGACACGAAAGCGUGGGGAGCAAACAGGAUUAGAUACCCUGGUA